Molecule: small RNA, 545 nt
Filed under: Pongo abelii (Sumatran orangutan)
Lineage: Eukaryota; Metazoa; Chordata; Mammalia; Primates; Hominidae
Description: processed transcript
Source: RNAcentral
GUCAAAGACUCUGCUUCUGUAGGAAUUCUUCCCCGAUCAUCCCAGGGCUCACACAGUCGACAAAAGAAAACAUUUAUCUUGGGAGAUGGGCAGAAGCUGAAGGACUGGCAUGACAAGGAGGCCAUCUGGAGGGAUGCUCAGCGCAUAGGAAAUGGAGAACAAGGAAGACCUUACCCCAUGACCGAUGCUGAGAGAGUGGAUCAGGCAUACCGAGAAAAUGGAUUUAACAUCUACGUCAGUGAUAAAAUCUCCUUGAAUCGCUCUCUCCCAGAUAUCCGGCACCCAAACUGCAACAGCAAGCGCUACCUGGAGACACUUCCCAACACAAGUAUCAUCAUCCCCUUCCACAACGAGGGCUGGUCCUCCCUCCUCCGCACCGUCCACAGUGUGCUGAACCGCUCGCCCCCAGAGCUGGUCGCCGAGAUUGUGCUGGUCGACGACUUCAGUGAUCGAGAGCACCUGAAGAAGCCUCUUGAAGACUACAUGGCCCUUUUCCCCAGUGUGAGGAUUCUUCGAACCAAGAAACGGGAAGGGCUGAUAAGGAC